This 449-nucleotide ribosomal RNA is filed under the name uncultured bacterium. RNAcentral describes it as "partial 16S ribosomal RNA". It matches the Rfam family "Bacterial small subunit ribosomal RNA", at positions 30 to 523 of the family's 1533-position model. The record is from RNAcentral.
AUUGAUCGCUGGCGGCAGGCCUAACACAUGCAAGUCGAACGAAGUCUUCGGACUUAGUGGCGGACGGGUGAGUAACACGUGGGAACGUGCCUUUAGGUUCGGAAUAACUCAGGGAAACUUGUGCUAAUACCGAAUGUGCCCUUCGGGGGAAAGAUUUAUCGCCUUUAGAGCGGCCCGCGUCUGAUUAGCUAGUUGGUGAGGUAAAGGCUCACCAAGGCGACGAUCAGUAGCUGGUCUGAGAGGAUGAUCAGCCACAUUGGGACUGAGACACGGCCCAAACUCCUACGGGAGGCAGCAGUGGGGAAUCUUGCGCAAUGGGCGAAAGCCUGACGCAGCCAUGCCGCGGGAAUGAUGAAGGUCUUAGGAUUGUAAAAUUCUUUCGCCGGGGACGAUAAUGACGGUACCCGGAGAAGAAGCCCCGGCUAACUUCGUGCCAGCCGCCGCAGUAA